GCAUGUUAAUGUUCGCAUUAGAUUCAAAGUGCAGCUGAGCCCAAACAGCCCAGCGCUUUGUUACAGACAUGAAACAUGAAUUUGCGUGAUCGUCAAGGAUCUUUGCAUUUCUGAGACAGCUUCGGUGUUUCUAGUAUUAUUGAUAUUCCCAUCAGACUUUCCUUCAAUCAGAAUCAUGUUCUAUAAUUAUAUGAAUGCUUAUAUAAAUGUAUUCUGUUCAAUCUUGUACAUGCUGCAAGGAGAAAUGCUAUUUGGCACAGCAGUGAAAGGGAACAAGUGUGCAAAGCUAUACAAAAAGUAGCAGUGUGAGGUGGCGGCCUCUUGUGGCCUUAGUAAAUAUUACGAAGUAAAGGAGGAAGUAGGAUAAAGAGCAAGAAAAUCCAGAUCAGGAUAACAGGGACAGAUGGGUGGGCACAGGAACUUUCAGCCAAGAGUCAAGUGACCAGUGUGAGCCCCCAAAGUAAAGGAAUUUUUACAAGCAGGACCAUUAGAGAAGAGACCCCGAAGGACGAGCCAGAACAAGCUGCUGUCAAUAUGAUGAUACCCAGGAAGUCGCAGCACCCCAGCUAAUCUACCCUCUAUGUGCGGCUGCCACAACUGAGUUGACAACGUUGCACUGACGCUGACAAAGAAGACCCAUUUUCCUUAUGGAGAGGAGCCAACACUGCUCAAUACCAGGGAGGCGGUGGAUUUAUCAGAUGACACAUGCAGAGCAACAGCUGCAAACACGCCGCCACAUUUGCACUAACAAGUACUUCCUACACAUUAGCUUAACUA
Molecule: long non-coding RNA, 777 nt
Organism: Acanthopagrus latus (yellowfin seabream)
Lineage: Eukaryota; Metazoa; Chordata; Actinopteri; Spariformes; Sparidae
Exons: 5
Source: RefSeq, a predicted model, not a curated record